Molecule: small nuclear RNA, 104 nt
Organism: Mesocricetus auratus (golden hamster)
Lineage: Eukaryota; Metazoa; Chordata; Mammalia; Rodentia; Cricetidae
Source: Ensembl
GUGCUGGCUUUAGCAGCACAUAUAUUAAAAUUGGAAUGAUACAAAGAUUAGUAUGGCCCCUGGGCAACAAUAGCACACAAAUUCAUGAAGCAUUCCAUAUUUUU